UGGGGAAUUUUGGACAAUGGGCGAAAGCCUGAUCCAGCAAUGCCGCGUGUGUGAAGAAGGCCUUCGGGUUGUAAAGCACUUUUGUCCGGAAAGAAAUGGCUCUGGUUAAUACCUGGGGUCGAUGACGGUACCGGAAGAAUAAGGACCGGCUAACUACGUGCCAGCAGCCGCGGUAAUACGUAGGGUCCAAGCGUUAAUCGGAAUUACUGGGCGUAAAGCGUGCGCAGGCGGUUGUGCAAGACCGAUGUGAAAUCCCCGAGCUUAACUUGGGAAUUGCAUUGGUGACUGCACGGCUAGAGUGUGUCAGAGGGGGGUAGAAUUCCACGUGUAGCAGUGAAAUGCGUAGAGAUGUGGAGGAAUACCGAUGGCGAAGGCAGCCCCUGGGAUAACACUGACGCUCAUGCACGAAAGCGUGGGGAGCAAACAGGAUUAGAUACCCUGGUAGUCCACGCCCUAAACGAUGUCAACUAGUUGUUGGGGAUUCAUUUCCUUAGUAACGUAGCUAACGCGUGAAGUUGACCGCCUGGGGAGUACGGUCGCAAGAUUAAAA
Molecule: ribosomal RNA, 550 nt
Filed under: uncultured bacterium
Lineage: Bacteria
Description: partial 16S ribosomal RNA
Rfam family: Bacterial small subunit ribosomal RNA
Source: RNAcentral